Molecule: ribosomal RNA, 1019 nt
Filed under: uncultured archaeon
Lineage: Archaea
Description: partial 16S ribosomal RNA
Rfam family: Archaeal small subunit ribosomal RNA
Source: RNAcentral
UCCAGGCCCUACGGGGUGCAGCAGUUAGGAAUAAUCUACAAUGCGCGCAAGCGUGAUAGUUUGAGCCAGAGUGUCUUUCAUUCGAAAGACUUUUAUGCACUGUAAAAAGGUGCAUGAAUAAGGACUGGGUAAGACUAGUGCCAGCCGCCGCGGUAAUACUAGCGGUCCAAGUCGCAGCCAUUUUUAUUGGGUCUAAAACAUCCGUAGCUUGCUUAAUAAGUUCCUUGUGAAAUUUCACAUCUCAAAUGUGGAGCGUGCGGGGAGUACUGUUAAGCUAGAGACUGGGAGACGUGAGAAGUACGUCCAAAGUAAUGGUAAAAUAUGUUAAUCUUGGGCGGGACUCACAAUAGCGAAGGCAUCUCACGAGAACAGUUCUGACAGUAAGGGAUGAAGGCUAGGGGCGCAAAACGGAUUAGAUACCCGUGUAGUCCUAGCAGUAAACACUGCACACUAAACAUCAGUAUCUCCUCGAGAGGUAUUGGUGCUGCAGGGAAGCCGAAGAGUGUGCUACCUGGGAAGUAUAGUCGCAAGGCCGAAACUUAAAGGAAUUGGCGGGGAGACACUACAACGAGUGACGCGUGCGGUUCAAUUAGAUUAUACACCGUGAACCUCACCAGGAGCGACAGCAGGAUGAAGGUCAGUCUGAAGGGCUUACCUGACACGCUGAGAGGAGCUGCAUGGCCGACGUCAGCCUGUGCCGUGAGGUGACCUGUUAAAUCAGGUAACAGGCAAGACCCACAUCCAUAUUUACUACGUGUACAAUAUGGAGAUUGCCUUGGUAACGAGGAUGAAAGUGUGGGCUACGUUAGGUGAGUACAGCCCAAAUCCCCUGGGCGACACGCGCGCGUCAAUGGUGGAUACAACGAGAUGCGACUCCGAAAGGAGAAGCUAAUCUCUUAAAGUCCAUCUUAGUCUAGAUCGAGGUUUGUAACUCAGCCUCGUGACACUGGAAUUCGUAGUAAUCGUUUGUUAGCAGCGAACGGUGAAUAUGUCACUGUCUCUUGCACACACCGCCCGUC